UUAGAUAUGAAGAAUAACCUCAUACAAUGCAAUGAAAAUGAUCUUCACCUGAAGUGCUGGUACUUCUUGAUCUGUGGCAGUGGCCUGAAGAACGGAGUCAGGUGUUGUUGACAGCCAUAACUUUCCACCAGCACCCUACCAUCCUCCAGUCCAACCAGCUGUGGGAUGUUGACCCCUGUCACUGUGCUGUUCUUCACAACACCAGCAAUCUCAGACAAAGUGUUCACUCUGAUCUUUCGGAAGCGCUGCUUGAUGAGGCCGAAGGGUUAGGAAGAAAUACCUGUCAGCUAUUUUAACAGUCUGUAAUGUUUACCUGGUAAAUGUUUAUAAUGUCGACUACCGUCUUUCAAUGUAAACUGUAAAGUCGAUGUCUAAUGUAUUUUAGUUAGUUGUGUUUGGACCCCAGGUGUUAUGGAGUCAGCUAAUGGGGAUCCAACCAGGUAGACUAGCUGUUGUUAUGGAGUCAGGGGAUCCAACCAGGUAGACUAGCUGUUGUUAUGGAGUCAGGGGAUCCAACCAGGUAGACUAGCUGUUGUUAUGGAGUCAGGGGAUCCAACCAGGUAGACUAGCUGUUGUUAUGGAGUCAGGGGAUCCAACCAGGCAGACUAGCUGUUGUUAUGGAGUCAGGGGAUCUAACCAGGUAGACUAGCUGUUGUUAUGGAGUCAGGGGAUCCAACCAGGUAGACUAGCUGUUGUUAUGGAGUCAGGGGAUCCAACCAGGUAGACUAGCUGUUGUUAUGGAGUCAGGGGAUCCAACCAGGUAGACUAGCUGUUGUUAUGGAGUCAGGGGAUCCAACCAGGUAGACUAGCUGUUGUUAUGGAGUCAGGGGAUCCAACCAGGUAGACUAGCUGUUGUUAUGGAGUCAGGGGAUCCAACCAGGUAGACUAGCUGUUGUUAUGGAGUCAGGGGAUCCAACCAGGUAGACUAGCUGUUGUUAUGGAGUCAGGGGAUCCAACCAGGUAGACUAGCUGUUGUUAUGGAGUCAGGGGAUCCAACCAGGUAGACUAGCUGUUGUUAUGGAGUCAGGGGAUCCAACCAGGUAGACUAGCUGUUGUUAUGGAGUCAGGGGAUCCAACCAGGUAGACUAGCUGUUGUUAUGGAGUCAGGGGAUCCAACCAAGUAGACUAGCUGUUGUUAUGGUGUCAGGGGAUCCAACCAGGUAGACUAGCUGUUGUUAUGGAGUCAGGGGAUCUAACCAGGUAGACUAGCUGUUGUUAUGGAGUCAGGGGAUCCAACCAGGUAGACUAGCUGUUGUUAUGGAGUCAGCGAGUGGGGAUCUAACCAGGUAGACUAGCUGUUGUUAUGGAGUCAGGGGAUCCAACCAGGUAGACUAGCUGUUGUUAUGGAGUCAGGGGAUCCAACCAGGUAGACUAGCUGUUGUUAUGGAGUCAGGGGAUCCAACCAGGUAGACUAGCUGUUGUUAUGGAGUCAGGGGAUCCAACCAGGUAGACUAGCUGUUGUUAUGGAGUCAGGGGAUCCAACCAGGUAGACUAGCUGUUGUUAUGGAGUCAGGGGAUCCAACCAGGUAGACUAGCUGUUGUUAUGGAGUCAGGGGAUCCAACCAGGUAGACUAGCUGUUGUUAUGGAGUCAGGGGAUCCAACCAGGUAGACUAGCUGUUGUUAUGGAGUCAGGGGAUCCAACCAGGUAGACUAGCUGUUGUUAUGGAGUCAGGGGAUCCAACCAGGUAGACUAGCUGUUGUUCUGGAGUCAGCGAGUGGGGAUCUAACCAGGUAGACUAGCUGUUGUUAUGGAGUCAGGGGAUCCAACCAGGUAGACUAGCUGUUGUUAUGG
Oncorhynchus keta (chum salmon) is the source of this 1793-nucleotide long non-coding RNA. RefSeq lists it as uncharacterized. Lineage: Eukaryota; Metazoa; Chordata; Actinopteri; Salmoniformes; Salmonidae. The transcript has 5 exons. The record is from RefSeq and is a predicted model, not a curated record.